This 371-nucleotide ribosomal RNA is filed under the name uncultured organism. RNAcentral describes it as "partial 16S ribosomal RNA". It matches the Rfam family "Bacterial small subunit ribosomal RNA", at positions 527 to 896 of the family's 1533-position model. The record is from RNAcentral.
GUAGGUGGCAAGCGUUGUCCGGAAUUAUUGGGCGUAAAGCGCGCGCAGGCGGUCCUUUAAGUCUGAUGUGAAAGCCCGCGGCUCAACCGUGGAGGGUCAUUGGAAACUGGGGGACUUGAGUACAGAAGAGGAAAGCGGAAUUCCAAGUGUAGCGGUGGAAUGCGUAGAGAUUUGGAGGAACACCAGUGGCGAAGGCGGCUUUCUGGUCUGUAACUGACGCUGAGGCGCGAAAGCGUGGGGAGCAAACAGGAUUAGAUACCCUGGUAGUCCACGCCGUAAACGAUGAGUGCUAAGUGUUAGGGGGUUUCUGCCCCUUAGUGCUGCAGCUAACGCAUUAAGCACUCCGCCUGGGGAGUACGGCCGCAAGGCUG